GACGAACGCUGGCGGCGUGCUUAACACAUGCAAGUCGAACGGAAAGGCCCUGCUUUUGUGGGGUGCUCGAGUGGCGAACGGGUGAGUAACACGUGAGUAACCUGCCCUUGACUUUGGGAUAACUUCAGGAAACUGGGGCUAAUACCGGGUAGGAGCUCCUGAUGCAUGGUGGGGGUUGGAAAGUUUCGGCGGUUGGGGAUGGACUAGCGGCUUAUCAGCUGGUUGGUGGGGUAGUGGCUUACCAAGGCUUUGACGGGUAGCCCGCCUGAGAGGGUGACCGGCCACAUUGGGACUGAGAGACGGCCCAGACUCCUACGGGAGGCAGCAGUGGGGAAUAUUGCGCAAUGGGCGGAAGCCUGAUGCAGCGACGCCGCGUGCGGGAUGACGGCCUUCGAGUUGUAAACCGCUUUCGCCUGUGACGAAGCGUGAGUGACGGUAAUGGGUAAAGAAGCACCGGCUAACUACGUG
This 468-nucleotide ribosomal RNA is filed under the name uncultured bacterium. Its description in RNAcentral is "partial 16S ribosomal RNA". It matches the Rfam family "Bacterial small subunit ribosomal RNA", at positions 28 to 507 of the family's 1533-position model. The record is from RNAcentral.